GUUUACUAAAAUAAGUAUGAUAUUUUCCCGGAAUAGAAGUGAGCUAAACAUUUAUACUUUUAGAGGAAAUGCGUAGUAUAGUAUUUAAUAAUAGGUGUUUAGUGGUGAUAGGCUUACCAUACUUCUUGAUAGCUUGAUGUGUAAGAAAAAUAUUAAGUAUAAAGUCAUAUCAAUAAAGCUAAGCUUGUUGGUUACCAUGAAAGUUGAUGUUGAACUACAAUAUAGUGUAAGAACUGAUUAGUAUGACUACUCAAUAUCUAAUACAUAUUAUUACGGUAAGUAUUACACUGUUACUACUUUUUUUAUAAUUAAUAAUGUAAAUAUGAGUAGUUUUAUAUUAAAUAUUUUUAAGGAACUCGGCAAUAUGUUGUUCAACUGUUUAUCAAAAACAUAACUAUAUGAAAUAAUAUAUAGCUUUUCCUGCUCAAUGGUUAACUAAAUAGCCGCAGUACUCUGACUGUGCAAAGGUAGCAUAAUCAAUUGGCUUUUAAUUAGAGUCUGGCAUGAACGGAACCAUGGAUAACAGCUGUCUUAAAUGUACUAAAAUGACAUUAGUAAAUAAGUGAAAAUACUUAUUUAAAAAUAAAAGACGAGAAGACCCUAGAAGCUUAGAAUAUUAUUUUGUUGGGGCGACAGAAUUACAUAUAACUAAUUUUAUAUAUACUUGAAGUCAUUCGGAUAGAUAAAGCUACUCUAGGGAUAACAGCAUAAUUUUAAUUAGUUUGUGACCUCGAUGUUGGACUAGGUAUGUUAUCCUUUAGAAGAGGAUAACAAAUGCUCUGUUCGAGCAUAGGCACCUACAUGAUCUGAGUUCAGACCGG
RNAcentral lists this ribosomal RNA (821 nucleotides) under Neocrassa neocrassa. Its description in RNAcentral is "partial 16S ribosomal RNA". Lineage: Eukaryota; Metazoa; Mollusca; Gastropoda; Stylommatophora; Helicidae. The record is from RNAcentral.